CAGGCUGGAGUAGACAGGAACCACGAGAGGCAGGGAGGACUGUACAGGGGUUGCUGACCAGGUGGAAGAUGAUGGGAGCCUCAGAAGGUGUCGUGGGACAGGGUCAGGGAGAGGGCUCUAUGCGGCCAGGAUCUGGAUGCAGAUUGUUGAGACUGAAAUUUGGCUCAGAUCCCUUCUAGUUGUGUCUGUUUAUCUUCAGUUUCCUUGUCUAUAAAAUGGGGAGAGAUUGUGUGUCCCCGGCAUCACUGGACUGUUAAUAGCUAUUGCAUUUAUAGCAUUUAUCCCAGAACCUGAAACACAGUAAAUGCUCAGUAAGUGUUAUUAUUUGCCCCAAACUGUCUUAGUGCUUUCCCCAAGAGCUUUGUGUUGUUUGUACUAUGAGGAAUAAUGAGGGUGGUGUGGGAGUCGGCCUCUGUGUCUGCAGAGAGGACCACAGGCCACAGGAAUAGAGACAGGUAGAUAGGAUCAAGGUGACAGGAACAGAUGUUCAGAGCAAGAGAUGAAGACGGCAUCAUCAACCCAGACAAGCCAGUUGGAGGCAUCUGUCCACCCAUGUGGUUCCAGACACGUUCAUGUGGCCACCAUGACCCCGUCGGCAUCACAGGGGUAACCAAGAGAGCAGCAAGUUCCUGGGACAGAGGAGACAGAAGGGAAUUUCCAGGUUCUUCAGGACGUUCACAACCACACUGAGAAGCAUCUUUGCAGAUAAGUAUUUAAACUUACCAGCCCAUAGCCUACCAGCCUGCCCUCUUCUGGUCUGUGCAGGAAAGUGUAGUAUCCUAGAAUGCCAAAGUGGGAGGGGAAAUGGGUGAUGUAGCUCAUUCUCUUUUCUACCUCUAUGGAAGAAAGAAAGAGCCUGUCCCCAUUUUGUGGGGUCCCAGAAAGGGUGAUUUUCACACUUCACAUUUGGCGUUAGGGCUAGUAUUUCACAAACAUUACCGUCUGGAACUUUUGAAGGCUGAGUUAAAUGACUUCAUCUUGUGUACUUGUAGAACUGCUAUUAGAAGGAGGCUGGGGACUCCCUGAUGAUGUGAACCAGCCCUUCUCUUCUCAGUUUCAGCACUUUGUGAUCAUAUUUAUAAACCUUGGACAGGGCUCCUUGGCCUUAGAGUUAAGUGAAGAGUUAACACUGUGACUUUAGAUGCAUUUUUCUCAGUGUAAGUGUCUGAGCUCAUCUCCAGUUCUGGACUCGUGCCCCCACUCCCGGGUGCUGACAGCAAGCUCUGAAGAUAUGCUGAGAGAGCUCCCUGACUCUCCUGACUCAGGUCUGCCAGUUGAUGAAGACAGCACAGUUGUUACCAAAAACAAAACCUGGCAGAUGGUCCUAGGUCAGGAUUAGUGGUCAUUCUCUGGUCUUCUCCAGACUGGUGACACAGGGUGGUCUUAAAAGAGUCCUAGUCCAGCCUCUGGCUCCCCGAAUUUCCUCUGGUGCAUGGGGCAUCAGGAAAGGGCAGGGGAGAAGGAGGGGGAGCAGAAAAAUAACUGAGGCUGGGCAGAAGGGUCCCUUCCAUUUCCCAUCCAUUGCUUCAAACAAUGGGUGAUUACCGUGCACCUUGAGUGAAUGUCAAGGCAGGAAGGGUUCCAGGGCCACCCAGUGUGGCAGGAGCAGAGCUGGGAUCAGAAUUCUGGAUUCCUGACUCUCCGUUCAGCUGCUAUUCAGCUAUCACCAAGCUGCUGAGUUUGUCCUACUUUCUCCUGGGUCACAUUCUGCUGUUGUUGGGAAACAGGGAGUGAGUGAAGGGAACCUGGGAACCCUUCUCCCCUCACCUUUUAAGGAUGUUCUGGGGUGGAAUAAAGAGAGGUGGAGGGUGGGGUGCCUGGGCCCAGCCUCCCUGGCUCCUGGUCCUUCUUUCUUCAGCAGGGAGUUCUGGCAAGGCCUGGGCCUGGGGAGGGGGCCUGGGUGCAGUUUUCUCCUGCGGUGUGGUUGGCUCUUUUGUCUUCCAGGAUGGGCCUGUGGGGUCUGUGUGGGGAAGGAAGGAGCUGGGAGCCUGGGCUGCCUGUGUGUCGGCUGGAUGCUGCCAGGUGGCUCCAUCUGGGCCGCAUCUCCAGGACUCCUGGCCUGGACUUCUCUUUGGACCUCGGGUGACCUUGGAUUCUGGCCACAGUGACUUAGCGGUCAGACUCCGGUGGUUUUCUAGCCCGCUGGGUGACUCCCUGAAGAUCUCAUCCUCUUCACACCUGUUGGGAUGGAGCCUCCCAUGGAUAGGAACUCUUCCUGGUUGAUGCUCAGCAGAUGACUGAUCUGGCUCUGGAGGACAGCUCCAGGGGUAUGAGGGAGGCCUGGCAGCCCACUACUCCCUCCUCACCUGCUCGGGCCCUGCCUGCUGGGCCCUAUUGUCUGGGUCUGGGGGCCCUUUCCUGCCCCAUGUGAACUUGAUUCCUCCUCGCGUUUCUGCCGGUGACCAGACAGAGCCUGGCCUGGGCCAAGUCCCCACUGACCACACUUUCCCCAAGGCUGGGUCUCAAAGGACCCUACAGGAUGGGGACAGGAACAAGGAUGGGAGUCGGGGAGGGGCUGUCAGGCAGAGGGCAGAUGCAGCUCCUCGGGUGCCGCUGGCUGGAGUCCUUUGUCUCCAUUUGCUCAGUGCGUAAUUGUCAUUUUGUGGGGGACUUCCUUGGUGGGGCUUUUCCAUGCUUUUCCUCUCCCUGAUGGUUACAAAGAGGAGACAGUCAGGAUCUGGGAGGAGCUGGAGCCUUCCCCCUGUGCUGUUGAACUCUGGGAGGGGCAGCCAGAGGGGCUGAGAGUGCACCAUCCUGAAAAGAGAGGGUCUUUAAGAGAUAAGAUUUAGGCUAGGGAAAUUCACUAGAAAGAGACAGGUGGCCCUGGGUUUUUUUUCCUGCCAUCCAAAGGGAACCAGUCUUACCCAAAGGCUUAAGGGGUCACCUUAGCCCAGUCUCAGGACACUCUUCUCCAAUCAGAUCGCUGCUUCUAGUUGCACUGCUCCUGGAUUCUGUUCUUGGGGAACAGAAGGUGGCAGGACAGGCCCCACAAUCUGCAAUUCCAGCUCCCUCCAGAGGAGACAGUCCCAGCGUUUGCAAGAGAGCAGCUUGUGGCCUCCCUUAGGCAAGUUUAAAAGCCAGAUGUCCUUUUUCCCAGAAUGCGGAGUGGUGUGUACUAUUCAUCAGCUUGGGCUGCCACAGCACCAUGCCAGACUGGAUGGCUUAAACAUCAGGAAUUUAUUUUCUGCCAGUUCUGGAGGCUGGAAAGUCCAGAUCAAGGUGUUAAGACUUGGUUUCUGGUGAGGCCUCUCUCCUUGGCUUGCAGGUGGCACCUUCUCACUAUGUCCUCACAUGGCCUUUUCUCUGUGGAGAGGGACAGAGAGCAUGAGCAGGCUCUGGUGUCUCCUCCUCUUCUUAUAAAGACACUAAUAUCACCAUAUUAGGGCUUAAACCUAUGACCUCAUUUAACCUUAACCCCUUAAAGGUCCCAUCUCCAAAAACAGUCACAUAGCAGGCUACUGCUUCAACAUAUGCAUUUGGGGGAGGGGACACCAUUCAGUUCUUAACAGGGUGGUCACCGCAAACAUGGAAAGUCAGAGCCUUCUCCCCUUCAGAAUUCCCGCCCCCACCCAGGGAUGGGGAGGAGGAGCAGAGAGGUAUGGGAAGCAGACACGGAGAGUGGCAGGUACCAUGCUGGGGUGGCUCAGGAGUGCUUCGGAGGACAUAUGGAACUGGCAGGGCUCAGUGCAGGGAGGCGGAGGCCCUGGGAGAGCCGUGUCCUGAGAAGGGCCUGGGCUACAACCCUGGGCAAGUUACUUCACCUCUGAGCCUCCGAUGCUCUGUGAAAUGGAAGGAAUGUGCUUGCCUGUCAGGUGCAGGGAGAAUUCAGUGAGAUUGUGUGCCUAGCACAGUGCCUGACUCCCAGUAGGUGCUCAGCAAAUGCUCCCAUCCAUCUGGGAGUAUAGACUUAGGGUUUAUCUAUUUUUUUUUUUUUUUGGCUCUCUGGACUUUAAAACUCAGCAUCUUCUGAACCAGAGGCAUUUCUGAUUAGCCCUUCCCUACCUAUUUUCCUAGUAUCACUCUUUAAUCAGCUUGGGGAGGUGGCAGCAUUUCAUGGCCUCCGUAGUAACUCACAAUGCUUCCUGGGGUAUUUAAAUUCUACUCUCUCAUCAGCACUGAGCACCUACUUUGGGCCCUUUCCCGUGCUAGCCAUUUGGGGGAAAUAUAGGUGAAGAGUGGCUGGGGUUUGAACCUUUAGGAUUUCACAGCCAUGCUGGAUGGGAUAAAACCAGCUCACAUGGAGAAUCAGAGAAUGGGACAGUGCCACAAAACAGUCUACUGAGGCACAAGUUCUGAGUGCCUGGGAAGUGGUAGAGAGACCCCAGAGAGGGCUGCUGCAGUCUGGAACAGCUUCCUAGCAAGCUGUACCAAACAGGGCCUUGAAGGAUGAGAAAGAUCUGGCUGAGAUGAUACCCGACCCUCUAGGGAAAUUCUUAAAGUAACUUCUAGGAAAUGUCAUUGCUCCUUAAAAAAAAAAAAAAAAAAAAAAAAGCAGGUUCUAAUUCAAAUUCCGCUGCACUACUGAAGUAGUGCAGGACUUAUCAGAACCUUUAAAAUGCUAAUGGCAAUUUCAAAUACUCAGGGACAGGGCAUAGGAUGAAGUGUUCCUUGACUUUUAUGGCCGUAGAAUCUUUUUCUCAUGGAACAUCGUUUAGAACUGUGGGAGAUGCUAGGCUGGGGUUUCUAUGGGAAAAGUACAGCAGUGAUAGAAGAUGGCAUAAUUAGGGUACACUUAGGUGCUUUGUAGCAUUGGCUGAAAAGGAAGCAGACCGGGUGGGCGUGGGGGAGUCUCAACUUGGUUCCAGGAGCCAGGCCAGCUUGAUGCGUUUUUUUUUUUUCUAAUGGUGGGAGGGCAGGCCAAUAGUUGGAGAAACUAGAGGCCUGACAGUCGGUGAUGGAAGAGAUGUCUACUAAGCACGGUUGUCAGAUCUUUUGCGGAGAGAUGCGGGUGUGCGUGUGUCUGUCAGAGUGUAACAGGAUCCAGCCCUCUGGGAAGGGGCUGACCAGAACCAGGCAGGGGGUUUCUGUCUAGGACAAGUAGGGUCCAUUUUCAGGGGAGCUGAAAUAUUUGCAGGGGGUGCUCUGAGACCCACAGCCAAUAAAUAGGGAAGCAACAUGCUUUUGGGCAGGGUCCAUGUGGUUAGGGUUGAUUUUGAUGGGGCUGGGGGGCUUAGAGUUAGACCCCCUGCCCUGGUCAGGCCCCACUCCCUGGCUGGUGGGGGCGGGAGGCCUCUGAAGCUGCAGCUGGAGGGGCCGGGGCAGUGUUGCAUGGUGUGAUUAACCUACUAACCCAGGGCUCAGCCGGGACGCUGUGGCGUGUGACGAGGUGCCUGGCCUUCUGCCAACCAACUAACCCACUAACCAGGCCCGAGCAUGCCCUACUAACCACCCCCCCGCAGCCAGAUCCUACUAACUGUGCAGCUCAUGGGCCUUUCAAGGGGCUGGGAUAUGGGGGCAGCCAAGGCUCCAGAAGGCUCUGCCUAUGGGCUGGGAUCUUUGUGCAGACCCACGUUCCAGGACAGAGAAUGCAAAUAAGACUCACCAACUCUGCCACUUCCUGUUGAGUGAGUUUGAGUAAGUCACCUCACUUCUCUCAACCUCAGUUUCCUCAGUGGUAGAAUGCGAGUUCUGAUACCUUACAGGUUGCAGUGAGGAUUCCCGUCAAUAUAAGGGUCUCAGCACAUGGCAGACACCUAAAAAAAAAAAAAGUAUGAGGAUGGAGGAAGGCCCCUCAAACCUGGUUGAACACGUCUGCUGCCUAGGCCCUGGCCUCUCUGGGUGUUCUGCACACAGAUCCUUCUGCCUGGGGCAAGACACUUGGCUUUGAAUCCAUGUCACUUCCCCACAUUCUUCCUCCGUCUCAGCUUUCUUUUCUGUAGGCAGCUCUUUUGUUCGAUUACUAACCCGUCUAACCCCUGGGGUGCCUCAACUGCACCCCGAUCAUCCCUUAACAAACUAACGGACCUGCGUGCGUUCUUCCUUUUCUCUUAGCGACUCCUGUGUGUGUCUGCUGAGGUGCCCUGUCCGCUGGUGCUGUGCUCUGACUUACUAACCCAGCCCCUACUAACCCUGUUUUCUCUUCUUACUAACCCCAGCCCUGCCGAGCUCUGGGCUCCCCCCGGGGGCUGGUCCCCCUCCUUUUGGCAAGCAGAUGACCUGGGGCUACUGGCCCUGUAGACAGAUGUCCCACUUUGCUGCCCCAUAUUGGCUGUAAGAUCAGAGUCCACUGGGCCAGGUCUAAGGCAGGGGAUGGCCCUAUUAACAAGACUCAGAGGAGGAAGAGGUGGUCCUGUGGAUGUGGGAGGCUGGACUCUGAGUAUGACAUCUCUCCUAUGUGCAGAAGUCUGGUUGCCACUGGGAGUAGGUGGGACCAGGGAAAUCUCUGGGACGUGAGUGUGGAGGCCUGUUGGUCUAGACUCUAGACUGUGGAGCUCUGAGCUUUUGUGUCCUCUGGAAGGAAGCUGGGGAAGAAUCCUCUCCAUUGUUAAGUGACGGGGAUAGAAGCUGUCCUGCACAGGAAGUCACGAGGGGGGCGUAUCCCACGAGGAAGGCAGGAGGGGGCGUGCCCCUCACCGGAAAUUAGCAGAGGGGCGUGUCCCACACCGGAAGUCAGAAAGCGGAGCCUUUCUUACACCGGAAGUCAAUGAAGCGGGUCUUUCCUACGCUAAAAACCACUGAGUGGAGUAUUUAGUACACAGGAAGUCGGCCAGAGAAACAUUUCUCAUAUUUGAAGGCCGGAAAGAGGGACAUUUCUGACACCGGAAGUCAGUGAGAGGACUCUUUCCCACACAGGAAGUCAGCUAGAGAGCCGUCUCCCCUCUCUGGAGCCGAGAGAGGCCGGUUUCCCCCACCGUAGCCCACCUGGGAGGAAUUUUCCAGAGAUCACUGUCUGAUGACCCUGUCUUGGAAUUGGAGCCAUGCAAGUUACACUGACCACGUUUGGGUUGGGAUAUUGAGGAGGUUAUGGUUAAAAGCAUACGAUGGGAGAUCAUAUUGUACUUGCGAGUGAGACCCGGCUGGAGGAAUGUUUUAAUUCUUCGGAAAUACCAAGUGGUCUCUAGAUGGGUUUUCACUAUUUUUCCCAGGCUAGUCUCCAACUUCUGGGCUCAAGCGAUCCACCCGCCUUGGCCUCCUAAGUCCUAGGAUUAUAGGUAUGAGCCACUGCGCCUGGCCUUUUUGCCUUUUGAAAGUAUCUGUUGUUAACAAUAUUCAAUUGGGUUGAAUCUUGCUAGGGACCAAGGUGAAUUUGCAUAAAUUAGUCUAUGCCAAUUUGCAUACUAUCAGCAAAUUUGUAGUGUACAGAAUUUUGGAAAUAGAAGGAAGCUAAGAGGGGUGUCAAAUGCAGCUUCUUCUUUUUUUACCUGAAAAGAUACCAAAGUCCAGCUCAGGGAAGGUCACACAGCUAAUUCUUAUCAUGGGGAGACAGACCCAGGGACAUCAUGGUGCCUCCGAGAUUAGUACGGCCCCUCAAACAUCCCCAUUUUCUGUCCCUAGCCCAUUGGAACCCCUUAAAGUUGGUCCCUCGAGCUCGGGUGAUAGCACACAUGAUGGAAAGUAGGCAGGCUUGCCAUUGAAGCUCCAACCUAGCUCUGCACCACAUCAGCUGUGUGACCUUGAGCAAAUCACUUAACCACUCUGAGCAUGGCAUUUGUAAAUGUCAAGGUAGCAACGCCCUCUUUACUGCCCUGUUGUGACAAAUAAGAUAUAUUCCAUAAAUAUGAUCCAUGUAGUAUUAAACUACCAUUUACUGAGUCUCCCCUAUGGAAAGCACUUAGUAGGUGCUCAAAAACUCCUAGUCCUUUCUUCCCCUCUUUCAAUGUGUCACUGCAUCUGGGUAAUUUAUACCCAUUUCCUGUUUUCCUUUGAGAAGUGCAUGUCAUGCUCUGCACAAAAGUGACUCUUAAUGGUGGCAUUUCAAGCAUCAUGGCAGAGUGCUGAGACGCUGAUGAAGAUAUUUUAGGCUGGGGUGCAUGGGGAGCACUCUCAGGGCCUCUCAUGCGCAUCCUGAGCCCUUCCUGUGAACCAGACUGACCCUGGCUUCUGUGCCAUUUUCAUUCCAGCCAAGAAUGUUCUGAAAUGAAGCCAAUAUCUGAAGGAUCUAGGAUGCCUGUUCCCCUCUCUUAUGCUGUCUCGGGGGAUGAUUUAGCCACCAAGAAUUUUCCUUAUGGUUGCAAGAUGAUUAAAAAAAACCACACACUCAGAUGCUUUUCGGAGGUUGACAUUUUUCACAGCCCCUCUUCCUCCUCCAUAGAUUUCCUGGAGGUUCCAUCCAGCUCUGGCUCUAGCUGGCUCCUUGACUCUGGACAAGUCACUUCAUCUCUCCAAGCCUUGUCUAUAAAGUAGGGAUAAUACUCCUUCCCACUUCAGAGAGUCAUUCGGGGAUUAAACUGUGACAUGUAUGUAGCCAAGGGUCCAGCACACACUGACAACUCACCAAAUAUUAGCCAUCACUCCAAACUAAGAAGGCAGGAUUCCGGCUGGGCACGGUGGCUCACGCCUGUAAUCCCAGCACUUUGGAAGGCUGACGCAGGUGGAUCAUGAGGUCAAGAGAUUGAGACCAUCCUGGCCAACAUGGUGAAACCCCGUCUCUACUAAAAAUACAAAAAUUAGCUGGGCGUGGUGGUGCGUGCCUGUAGUCCCAGUUACAGGCUGGGAGGCUGAGGCAGGAGAAUCACUUGAACCUGGGAGGCGGAGGUUUCAGUGAGCCAAGAUUGUGCCAUUGCACUCCAGCCUGGCGACAGAGUGAGACAGAGUGAGACUCCGUUAAAAAAAUAAUAAUAAUAAAUAAGAAAAGAAGGCAAGAUUCCAUUAACUUCCAGAAGGUAGACUGUCUUAAAUAUUGGGCAAUUCCCUUUCCUCCUCUCGGCCUCAGCUUUCCCAUCUGAAAAAUGGGAGUAGGACAAGGGAACUGGAUCGCAGGCAUUGACAUAACUUUCUGUGGUUAUUAAAUAGGGCCCCACAAAGACAGUGUCGGGGACCAAGGAGCUCAGGCCGCCUGCCCCACCUUUGCCACCUGCAAGACUGUAUACUCCAGCCAGUAAGGACCUCACUGUUCUCACUCACUAGUGUGUCCUCAGUCCCAGCCCAGGGACUCUGGCUAGGGGCUGACACUUAAUAAAUCCAUGUGAAUGGAUGCAGGAACUCUGCUCCGAUCUGUUCUAUCUGCUUAGUUUUUGCAUACAAUUUUGUUUGAACAAAGAACCACGUGGUUUAUCUAUCAGUCAGGGCUCAGCAGGAAACACAUGGCACAUAUAUAAUUGGGAUAAUUUGAGGAGAGUUUAGUAAAGGAAUUGUUUACAAAGGUGUGGGCAGGGUGUAGGGAACCCACACAGGAGGGUAUAACUGGGGUCUAGUGUCAGCGGGCGCCAUCAUCAUUCCUAGGCCAGAUGAGGGAAGGUUAAGAGUUAAUGGCCGGGCGCAGUGGCUCAAGCCUGUAAUCCCAGCACUUUGGGAGGUCGAGGAGGGCGGAUCACAAAGUCAGGAGAUCGAGACCAUCCUGGCUAACAUGGUGAAACCCCGUCUCUACCAAAAAUACAAAAAAUUAGCCGGGCAUGGUGGCGGGCGCCUGUAGUCCCAGCUACUCGGGAGGCUGAGGCAGGAGAAUGGCGUGAACCCGGGAGGCG
Molecule: long non-coding RNA, 9623 nt
Filed under: Homo sapiens (human)
Lineage: Eukaryota; Metazoa; Chordata; Mammalia; Primates; Hominidae
Description: PREDICTED lncRNA (TCONS_00176741)
Rfam family: Myocardial infarction associated transcript exon 5 conserved region 1 (bases 5267-5415)
Source: RNAcentral